RNAcentral lists this unclassified non-coding RNA (216 nucleotides) under Hevea brasiliensis (rubber tree). Lineage: Eukaryota; Viridiplantae; Streptophyta; Magnoliopsida; Malpighiales; Euphorbiaceae. The record is from RNAcentral.
GGAAAAAUCAAGCAGUUGGUUAAAGCAGCGAUGGUGGACAAACUGAUCGUCGCCGUUGAAGGCACCGCUGUGUUGGGCCCUUACUGGAAAAUCAUCGUUUCCGAUUACCUUGAUAAAAUUAUCAGGUGCUUUUUUGGAGUGGACUCAACUUCACAGAAAUCAUCUGCAGCCGAUGUGGAGGUCUCCAUGGUCAUGUUUAAUACACAUGGUCCUUAU